Molecule: ribosomal RNA, 253 nt
Filed under: uncultured bacterium
Lineage: Bacteria
Description: partial 16S ribosomal RNA
Rfam family: Bacterial small subunit ribosomal RNA
Source: RNAcentral
GACGUAGGGCGCGAGCGUUGUCCGGAUUUAUUGGGCGUAAAGAGCUCGUAGGCGGUCUGUCGCGUCUGCUGUGAAAACUCGGGGCUUAACUCUGAGCUUGCAGUGGGUACGGGCUGACUAGAGUGCGGUAGGGGAGACUGGAAUUCCUGGUGUAGCGGUGAAAUGCGCAGAUAUCAGGAGGAACACCGGUGGCGAAGGCGGGUCUCUGGGCCGUAACUGACGCUGAGGAGCGAAAGCAUGGGGAGCGAACAGG